Molecule: transfer RNA, 73 nt
Filed under: Verrucomicrobiota bacterium
Lineage: Bacteria; Pseudomonadati; Verrucomicrobiota
Also listed under: 1 other name
Description: Verrucomicrobia bacterium tRNA-Thr
Rfam family: tRNA
About the family: Transfer RNA (tRNA) molecules are approximately 80 nucleotides in length. Their secondary structure includes four short double-helical elements and three loops (D, anti-codon, and T loops). Further hydrogen bonds mediate the characteristic L-shaped molecular structure. tRNAs have two regions of fundamental functional importance: the anti-codon, which is responsible for specific mRNA codon recognition, and the 3' end, to which the tRNAs corresponding amino acid is attached (by aminoacyl-tRNA synthetases). tRNAs cope with the degeneracy of the genetic code in two manners: having more than one tRNA (with a specific anti-codon) for a particular amino acid; and 'wobble' base-pairing, i.e. permitting non-standard base-pairing at the 3rd anti-codon position.
Source: RNAcentral
GCCUAAAUAGCUCAGUUGGUAGAGCAGCGCAUUCGUAAUGCGAAGGUCGUCGGUUCGAGUCCGGCUUUGGGCA